CACACUCACACCCAUUCCCACACAGACACACUCGUACACACACACCCAUUCCCACACAAUCACAUUCCCCCCACACACACCCAUUCCCACACACACUCAUACACACACACUCACACCCAUUCCCCACACAGACACUCAUUCCCCACACACUCACACCCAUUCCCACACUAGACACACUCAGACACACACACUCACACCCAUUCCCACACACACAGACACACACGCAUGCACACACGCAUACACACACACAUUCACAGUCACACACGUUAAGCCAUUUUAACUUUAGCGCCUCAGCUCUCAGUCCCCAAAUCACCUGCACACCCAGAGGCAGGGGCUACUCACAACCAAGCACCUUGGACAGAGGCAGGUAAACCCACUAAGCUGGAUUCCUGGAGAAGCAGGAAAAAGCGGAGCCGUUUCUUCUUGGACAUCCUAGAUGCUCAGAUAAAAGAGAUGGAAUCUCAUUGGAUGGAUUUGAGGAAACCCCCAAAGCUGCUUCUUGAAAACAUCAACCAGCGACCUGCCGUGUGCUGAGAUUCUACCUGGCUCUUUGUUUUCAGGAAGUCUUCCUGAGAGAGCGCACUGUUGGCGUUUUGCUGGGUAGAUAUCCCUUGGGGGUGGUGUCCUACCUACUGAAGGGUGAACAGCAACCUUGCUCAACCAUCACCCCAACAAAAUCCAGGAGCACCCUCAGUCACUGUGACCCCCAAAUGGCAUUUGUUGUAUCCCCCAAAUCCAAGUCUUAACCCCCAGGACCUCAGAAUGCGGCUGUAUUUGGAAACAGGGUCUUUCAAGAGGUAACUAAACUAAGAUGAGGGCUUUGGAGUGGGCCCUAAUCUAAUCUGACCGGUGUCUUUAGGAUGCAGUUUGGGUAUUUGUCCCUGCCCAGAUCUCAUGUGGAAAUGUGAUCCUCAGUGUUGGAGGUGGGGAUUGGAGGGAGGUGUUUGGAUCAUGGGGGUGGAUCCCUCAUGAAUGGCUGGGCUAGCCUCUUGGUGAUAAGUGAGCUCGAGCCCUGGGUUCACAGGAGUCCUGGUCUUUUAAACGUGUGUGACACAUCCCCCCUCCUCUUUCUCACUCCUGCUUCCCCUUGUGAUGAGCUGGCUUCCCCUUCUUCUUCCGCCAUGACUGGAAGUUUCCUGAGGCCUCCCCAGAGACAGAUGACGUCACGCUUCCCGUACAGCCUGCAGAUCCCUGAGCCAAUUAAAGCUCUUUUCUUUAUAAAUUACCCAGCCUCAGGGACUUCUUUAUAGCCAGGUGAGAACGGACUAACGGGCUUUACAAGAAGAAAAUGUUGGGAAGCAGACACUGACAGAGGGAUGACCACGUGAGGACACAGGGAGAGGAUGGCGUCUGCAGGCCACCGAGGGGCCUGAGGAGGAACCAGCCCUGCCCACGCCGUGAUCUCAGAUUUCCGGACCUCAGGACUGCGGGGAAGGGAGUUUCUGUUGUUCAAGCUGCUCGGUCCACGGUACUUUGUUAUAGAAGCCACAGCAGAGUUAUAUGCAUGUGUAUGCGUGCACACACACACUCACACACACGAACACUAACACAAACACACACGGACACACACUUUCUCACACACAGACACACAAUGACACACAGACACACUGACCCACAGGCACACACAGACACACACUCUGUCACACUGACACACACACACUGACACACUCUCACAUACGGACACACACUCGCACUCUCACACACACUGACACACACAGACACACUGACACGCGGGCACACACACACACAGACACACACUCACACCGACACACAGACUUACGUACACUGACACUCUCACGGACACACACUCUCGCACUCUCAGACACACACACUGAUACAGACACACGCUGACACACAGAGACACACACACUGACACACAUCCACACAGAGGCCCCACAUUUCUCAGCCUUUUGAGGUAGUACAUUUAAAUAGCAUUUAAAAUACCUAUUAAUUCAUUAAAACACUCAUAAACCUGUUAUCUGUCAGCGUAAAUACCUCAUGACAAAUAGCUGACUGGAAACCACUGACUGAAAACCACAGAGUCAGCUCACGGAAGAUGGCUGUUAAAAUGCAAAUGCACUUUGGGGAGGACAUGGUGGCGUGAGUGUCAGGAAGGAGUGACUUGGCCUGUGAGUCAGCGUCUAGAAGGCGUGCGUCUGGCCUCUGAAGUCGGAUGGGAGGGCCUGGGCUGCCUCCUGACUGCCACUUCCCUGCUGCGCGGCCUCCAGCCAGUGUCUCCACCUCCCUGCCCUUGGUCCGUAAAUGGGGGGUAAUAGGACCCACUGCACGCGUUAUAGGAGGGUCAAGUGGCUCCGUAUCUGCAAAGGGCUUAGGACAGCGCCUGGAAAGCACGCAGCGUCUGCCUUCCUCCCUCACUGGGAAGCUCGGGGGAUGGGCCACACGGACACAGGCUAUUGGCUGAGGGAGCAGGGAGGGGCUGAGACACGAUCUGGAGUCCGGGACUCAAACAUUGGGUCUAAAGAGCUAUGGAGGCCCCCACGGAGCAUGCGUUUAUGGGGGUUGAAUGCAGCCACGAUGCCACAUUAGAAAUCACCAAUGAGAAACACUAGAAAUCGAAACUAAGAGCAUUUAAAAUACCUAUUAAUUCAUUAAAACAAUCAUAAACCUGUCAUACGUCAACGUAAAUACCUUAUGACGAACAGCUAUAUUUUCCAAAACAAAAAGCAUUUAGGGGGAGGCAUGGCAUUGUCUUCGUGUCUGCAGAGCUCUCGAGUGUCUGACUCGGAAGAGCUGGGUUUUCCUGCCUGCUCCUGCAUUCCACCUGCUUGCAGAGCAUGGAGACAGUUCCGUGUGACACAGACAUGCAGCUAGCAAAGUGGGUCCCUCAGGGGGUCUCGGGGAUGCCAGGGUCCAGGGGCCUCCCUGAGACAGCUUCUGAUAUGGUCGGGAAGGUGCUCCGCAGAGCCAGGGCAGUGGGCGUGCUGGGGAGCCAGGCUGGGGGGCUGGGCACCCCCUCCCUCAUCCAGAGCAGCCCUAUUCCUAUCAGAUACAUGUCUUGGGCUCUGAGUCAAAUGCUGUGUGUACAAUAAAGUGGAUACACCUGCUCUGGGGCCUGGGGCUACACUGGAAAGGUGAGGCUUUGGGAUGGGAUGGUGGAGGGGAAACGCUAGGGCCCUGGGAGAUAAGGGCAAGAGGCCUCAGGUGUGCCCAGGUGGGAGAGCCAGGGCACCUGCAGUGCUGCUGGUCCAGUCCCAAAGCCAGCAGAGGCCCUGCUACCUCCACAUGCUGGACUCCAGGAAUUGCUCCUGGCAGCAGCAGGGAGCUCUGUGGAGCCAGGACACAGAGCCACAUGGUGCGAGGGGGGCUGCUGCCAGGAGUGGAGAGGCGGCGUGCACAUGGGUGACCUUGAGUGCACAGGUGCUGUGUGCCCACACAAGAGGUGGCUGGCCCACGGGGUGCUGCCCUCCCUCUGCCCCCCCAGCACACCUGGUCCACACACCUGCCCUGCUUCACCUGGUGCCACACCCUUGGGAGCACUGCUGAGGCCUAGAAGUCCUGGGCAUGUGUGUGGCCUCCCGAUAGGCAGGGCUCUGGCUCUCAUCUGGGAGCACUGCAGAAGCUGUUGUCUGGGAGCACGGGUGUCCAAGCCCAUGGAGAGCUGUCCCCCAUGGAGAGCUGUCCCCCAUGGAGAGCUGUCCCCCAGAGCCACCUCUUGCUGGAGGCAGAGCACCUGCAGCAGGAUGUGGGCCUCACAUCUCAGGGCCUCGGCCUCCCUCGUGCUUACCCCUCCCACAGGCUCCUCUGCCCUUGCUGUCCUCGCCUGGACCCUCCCCGAGAUCCCUGAGUGCCCAUCCCUUCACCAGGAGCCACUGGCCCAGUGUCUGUUUCCUGCCUCACUUUCCUUCCCAGGGUAUCCCCUGCUGCCCCGCAUGGGGCUUCUUUACCUGCUGUCCGUCCACCCCAAGGCAGGAGCUCCCUGAAAGCUGGAGCACCAACAGCUCGGUCCCUGCAGAGUCCCAGCACCCAGUGAAGCCACUGUGAGGAGGACUUGGGCCUCAGGAUGCACGUGCAGCCAUGGAGACCCCACGGGGCGGCCCCUCGGAUGAUCCUGGCCUUCUGGGUGGUCCCUGAGGGUUUGUUUCUUUCUGGGACUUUCUAACAGGAGGUCCUGCUCCUUGCCGCCGACUCAGCCCUGCCUGUAGCUUCCACAGUGCGUCAGAAGUCACCACUCACCUGAUGCUGGGAAUCCUCCUCCCAGGGCUC
RNAcentral lists this long non-coding RNA (4224 nucleotides) under Pan troglodytes (chimpanzee). RNAcentral's name for it is "long non-coding RNA NONPTRT016462". The record is from RNAcentral. Lineage: Eukaryota; Metazoa; Chordata; Mammalia; Primates; Hominidae.